UCAUUCUUCCUCCAGUGACCAGGGAGAAUGUACAUGGGUGGGGGAUUUGUAAUUCAUUAAUCAGCACGAGGCAACGGACCAGUUUCAACACCACAGGCUUCUUGGGUGACUCAGCGGGAAUGCUCCGAUUCAAGGCGAUGGACCGCCCGAGCGUCCCCAUUUGUGAAAUGUUUCCCCAUGAAGACCCUGGCAUUCUCCUUCCUUUGGGGUUUCGGGUUGUUGGUUUUUCCGGUGGUGAGGUGGGGGUGGCUUAGCGGUGAGGGCUCCCCCUCCUUCCCGCAGGCCUGGGUUGGGAUUUGCUGGGCAGGAUACCUGGGGGUAUGCCUGGACCCUCCCAGAGGGGGUCCCCUCCUCCCUCUCCAAGGGCUGCCGGGGAGAACACGCUCAGAGGAGGCAGCUCUAACCCAGGGCUGGGGACUGCCCUGCUUCAUGAUUUUCCUGGGGGAGAGUCAUGUGGUCCCCAAGGCUUGGGUGCCCUAUAGCCACACCACCAAUUAAAUCACUGGGUAAUAAGUUG
Homo sapiens (human) is the source of this 517-nucleotide long non-coding RNA. The record is from Ensembl. Lineage: Eukaryota; Metazoa; Chordata; Mammalia; Primates; Hominidae.